This 253-nucleotide ribosomal RNA is filed under the name uncultured bacterium. RNAcentral describes it as "partial 16S ribosomal RNA". It matches the Rfam family "Bacterial small subunit ribosomal RNA", at positions 524 to 776 of the family's 1533-position model. The record is from RNAcentral.
UACGUAGGGGGCUAGCGUUGUCCGGAUUUAUUGGGCGUAAAGAGCGUGUAGGCGGCCAGGUAGGUCUGCUGUGAAAACUCGAGGCUCAACCUCGAGACGUCGGCGGAAACCAUCUGGCUAGAGUCCGGAAGAGGAGAGUGGAAUUCCUGGUGUAGCGGUGAAAUGCGCAGAUAUCAGGAAGAACACCCGUGGCGAAGGCGGCUCUCUGGGACGGUACUGACGCUGAGACGCGAAAGCGUGGGGAGCGAACGGG